This is a long non-coding RNA of Spinacia oleracea (spinach), 568 nucleotides long. RefSeq lists it as uncharacterized. NCBI's taxonomy places the organism in Eukaryota, Viridiplantae, Streptophyta, Magnoliopsida, Caryophyllales, Amaranthaceae. The record is from RefSeq and is a predicted model, not a curated record. The transcript is spliced from 3 exons.
CAGAAAAUUAGAAAAAUUAAAACGCCAUUCUCCCUCCCUUCAACUUACUCGAUUGCGACCUACUCUUCCAUGGCGGACGAAAUUUAAUCAAUUGCUCAUCUUCUUCAACUUACUCGAUUAUUCUCGCAUAUCUCUUUAGCUUCUUUGCGAUCUUUUUCCAAUUCUCCAGGCAAAUGACUCUGGCCUUGCCUCAUAUGUCGGUGGUCAGAUUGAUCGAUCCCUGAGCUGGAAGGAGACGACGUGUGGAUGAUGGAAGCGUGGGAGAUGGUGGCAGCGUGGGAGAUGGUGGCGGCGCGGUGGUUGGUGCAGGUGAGGAGACGACAGCGGUGAAGAGAGAGAACCACGAAGGAGAAGGAAAAUGGAGGAGAGAGAAAAUGAGCUACUGAGAAUGAUGCAGGAGGAGAGAUAACCGGGAAUCAGUUUGGAAAAAUAAAUAUUGGCUAUAUUUACGAUUUUGCCAUUACUAAUAGCGCUAGGUAGAGUCUUACCUUCGUUAGAUAUAAUCACAACGAAUGUACAAGAUUGCUUCUCAUUCUUCUCAUUUUAAGAUCCCUUCUCAUUUGAGUCA